RNAcentral lists this transfer RNA (73 nucleotides) under Methanobrevibacter ruminantium M1. RNAcentral's name for it is "tRNA-Gln (TTG) (tRNA-Gln-TTG-2-1)". It matches the Rfam family "tRNA". Rfam says of the family: Transfer RNA (tRNA) molecules are approximately 80 nucleotides in length. Their secondary structure includes four short double-helical elements and three loops (D, anti-codon, and T loops). Lineage: Archaea; Methanobacteriati; Methanobacteriota; Methanobacteria; Methanobacteriales; Methanobacteriaceae. The record is from Rfam by way of RNAcentral.
AGUUCUAUGGUGUAACUGGCAAUCAUUCCGGGCUUUGGACCCGGAGAUUCCCGUUCGAGACGGGAUAGAACUA